Molecule: ribosomal RNA, 520 nt
Filed under: Babesia microti
Lineage: Eukaryota; Apicomplexa; Aconoidasida; Piroplasmida; Babesiidae
Description: SSU rRNA
Rfam family: Eukaryotic small subunit ribosomal RNA
Source: RNAcentral
GUCUUGUAAUUGGAAUGAUGGGAAUCUAAACCCUUCCCAGAGUAUCAAUUGGAGGGCAAGUCUGGUGCCAGCAGCCGCGGUAAUUCCAGCUCCAAUAGCGUAUAUUAAAGUUGUUGCAGUUAAGAAGCUCGUAGUUGAAUUUCUGCCUUGUCAUUAAUCUCGCUUCCGAGCGUUUUUUUAUUGGCUUGGCAUCUUCUGGAUUUGGUGCCUUCGGGUACUAUUUUCCAGGAUUUACUUUGAGAAAACUAGAGUGUUUCAAACAGGCAUUCGCCUUGAAUACUACAGCAUGGAAUAAUGAAGUAGGACUUUGGUUCUAUUUUGUUGGUUAUUGAGCCAGAGUAAUGGUUAAUAGGAGCAGUUGGGGGCAUUCGUAUUUAACUGUCAGAGGUGAAAUUCUUAGAUUUGUUAAAGACGAACUACUGCGAAAGCAUUUGCCAAGGAUGUUUUCAUUAAUCAAGAACGAAAGUUAGGGGAUCGAAGACGAUCAGAUAUAUACCGUCGUAGUCCUAACCAUAAACUA